This 744-nucleotide ribosomal RNA is filed under the name uncultured bacterium. Its description in RNAcentral is "bacterial SSU rRNA". It matches the Rfam family "Bacterial small subunit ribosomal RNA", at positions 94 to 823 of the family's 1533-position model. The record is from RNAcentral.
AGCGGCGGAUGGGUGAGUAACACGUGGGGAACCUGCCCCUAAGUCUGGGAUACCAUUUGGAAACAGGUGCUAAUACCGGAUAAUAAAGCAGAUCGCAUGAUCAGCUUUUGAAAGGCGGCGUAAGCUGUCGCUAAGGGAUGGCCCCGCGGUGCAUUAGCUAGUUGGUAAGGUAACGGCUUACCAAGGCGACGAUGCAUAGCCGAGUUGAGAGACUGAUCGGCCACAUUGGGACUGAGACACGGCCCAAACUCCUACGGGAGGCAGCAGUAGGGAAUCUUCCACAAUGGACGCAAGUCUGAUGGAGCAACGCCGCGUGAGUGGAGAAGGUUUUCGGAUCGUAAAGCUCUGUUGUUGGUGAAGAAGGAUAGAGGUAGUAACUGGCCUUUAUUUGACGGUAAUCAACCAGAAAGUCACGGCUAACUACGUGCCAGCAGCCGCGGUAAUACGUAGGUGGCAAGCGUUGUCCGGAUUUAUUGGGCGUAAAGCGAGCGCAGGCGGAAAAAUAAGUCUAAUGUGAAAGCCCUCGGCUUAACCGAGGAACUGCAUCGGAAACUGUUUUUCUUGAGUGCAGAAGAGGAGAGUGGAACUCCAUGUGUAGCGGUGGAAUGCGUAGAUAUAUGGAAGAACACCAGUAGCGAAAGGCGGCUCUCUGGUCUGCAACUGACGCUGAGGCUCGAAAGCAUGGGUAGCGAACAGGAUUAGACACCCUGGUAGUCCAUGCCGUAAACGAUGAGUGCUAAGUGU